Molecule: ribosomal RNA, 107 nt
Filed under: uncultured bacterium
Lineage: Bacteria
Description: partial 16S ribosomal RNA
Rfam family: Bacterial small subunit ribosomal RNA
Source: RNAcentral
UACGUUCCCGGGCCUUGUACACACCGCCCGUCAAGCCAUGGAAGCUGGGAGUAUCUAAAGUCGGUUGCCGCAAGGCGCUGCCUAGGGUAAAACCGGUGACUGGGGCU